This is a long non-coding RNA of Brassica napus (rape), 1476 nucleotides long. RefSeq lists it as uncharacterized. NCBI's taxonomy places the organism in Eukaryota, Viridiplantae, Streptophyta, Magnoliopsida, Brassicales, Brassicaceae. The transcript is spliced from 2 exons. The record is from RefSeq and is a predicted model, not a curated record.
GAUUCUAGUUUUUGGUGUUUUGAUUGUUUGGGUUAUUGUGUUUAUUUUAAGCUGUAAAAUAAAGAUUUGUGUAAAAUUAGAUUGAUAAGUAAGGGAGAUAAAUAAACGACCACAAAUCUUGGGUAUGAAAUAUUUUUGAUUAUUGAUGUUAGCACAAUAUAGAUAGUAGUAUCAAGAGAAUUAUGUGUUGAUUGUUUCUUACGAAUCAAUGAGGAGACGGAUAACAACUCGAAUUGUUUCUUUGGAGAGGUCAGAGCCCUGGACAUAACGGAUUUGUCCAACCACAUCUGCAAUAUUUAAUAUCAGUUAUGAUAUCAAAACAUAAUAUAAACCCAAAUGCAAUAUGAUAAUAUACUUGGGAGUUCUAGGUUUGUGUUCGCAAUCACUUGGAGAUUUCGAACAGUCUAAUUUUUACUGGAGAUUGAUCUCAAGAGCGCCCGUGAUGACUUCAUCAAUAAUGUUCAGGGAAUCCCAAAAGUGGAGGAAGCCAGAGGCUAUGCUCUGACUACUACGACCAAGACGGAGAGACUCGAAGGUUGAGUGACAGACGCCGGGACGCCGGUUUGAGGAAGUGGAGAGUCAGAGAGAAAGCUAAGAGGAAUCAAUGAGCUUUGUGGAGGUGCAUAUUAGGUUCAUCAAAGAUGAGAAUCAUAUAUAGGGUUUACAAAGGAGCUACAAAUAAAGAACAUUUAUGAUCAAGCGAUUUAAGAUGGGGACAUGAAGAGUUCACCGGUGAAAAAAUAGAUUACGAACAGACACACGGCACAACUCUGUAGAUCACACUUGUUGAGACAAUGAUGAAAAGAACUCUGACUCAUGUUAAACGACAACAAUUUACAAUAUGGAAAAACUAUAAUUGUUGCAAACUUGAGCUUUUUUCAUAUAAUGUGAUGAAUCUCAUUUAAAAAUGAAACCCAUAAUACCCUUGUAGGCCCGACCCUCAGAGAAGUCGAAGAAGCAAAGGCUUCUGACCUUCAUAAAUAUGUAUUAGGUUCGACCAUCAAUGUACAAAGUAUCAUUUAACUUAGUGGUAUAAAUGUUGGUGUUUAUACUCAAUAAGCUGGGUUCAAGCCAUGAGCUUGACACUUUUUCACACUUUUUAAAAGUGAGACCCACAAAACGCUGACAUGGCACGCUGAGGAGUGAGCAAAAACUUAACUAUUAUAAUAUAGAUUUCUUUUCUUUUUUUAAUGAAAUUUAAAAUUUAUUAAUCAUGUAAGAACUAUUUACAAAAAAAUUAAAGAAUCAAAAUAGUGGAGUGUAGUCUUUAGCCAAAAGAAUUAAGAACUAUGUUCAUUGUUGAGCUACUUAUAAUAUUUCAAAAUGUAAUCAUUUAAAAUGUUUUAUACAUUUGUAAAGCCAUAUUUCUUAUCUUUUUGAAAUAUCCACCUUACAUACUUUCAUGUGGACAACUAUAUCUGACUGUGUACGUGUACAAGAUAUAUCUGAGUGUACAAUCUUCUUCUUGAUGAGUCA